GAUGAACGCUAGCGGCAGGCUUAAUACAUGCAAGUCGUGGGGCAGCAGGUUUGUAGCAAUACAGAUGCUGGCGACCGGCAAACGGGUGCGGAACACGUACAGAACCUUCCUUUGAGCGGGGAAUAGCCCAGAGAAAUUUGGAUUAAUACCCCAUAGCAUAAUGAAGUGGCAUCACUUUAUUAUUAAAGAUUUAUCACUCGAAGAUGGCUGUGCGGCUGAUUAGGUAGUUGGCGGGGUAAAGGCCCACCAAGCCUGCGAUCAGUAACUGGUGUGAGAGCACGACCAGUCACACGGGCACUGAGACACGGGCCCGACUCCUACGGGAGGCAGCAGUAAGGAAUAUUGGUCAAUGGAGGCAACUCUGAACCAGCCAUGCCGCGUGGAGGAUGAAGGUCCUCUGGAUUGUAAACUUCUUUAUAUGGACGAAAAAGGCUUUUCUAAGUCGUCUGACGGUACCAUAUGAAUAAGCACCGGCUAACU
Molecule: ribosomal RNA, 480 nt
Filed under: uncultured bacterium
Lineage: Bacteria
Description: bacterial SSU rRNA
Rfam family: Bacterial small subunit ribosomal RNA
Source: RNAcentral